CAUGCAGGCGGUCGGACGCGUUUUGUGUGACAGCGGGUGGCUUAACUGCCCGAGUAUGCGAAAGACGGUUCGACUUGAGGGCUCGAGAGGGACACGGAAUUCCGGGUGGAGUGGUGAAAUGCGUAGAGAUCCGGAGGAACACCGAAGGCGAAGGCAGUGUCCUGGCGAGUGACUGACGCUGAGGUGCGAAAGCCAGGGGAGCGAACGGGAUUAGAUACCCCGGUAGUCCUGGCCGCAAACGAUGACCACCAGGUGUGGGAGGUAUCGACCCCUUCUGUGCCGGAGGAAACCCACUAAGUGGUCCGCCUGGGGAGUACGGUCGCAAGAUUAAA
This 332-nucleotide ribosomal RNA is filed under the name uncultured bacterium. RNAcentral's name for it is "bacterial SSU rRNA". It matches the Rfam family "Bacterial small subunit ribosomal RNA", at positions 568 to 898 of the family's 1533-position model. The record is from RNAcentral.